UGGUUUCUUUAUCCGGGAAGGAUACUCGUUCGACUAUGUGUUUGACUGGACCAUUCUAAUGUAUCCUCAAAUAGGCGCCAACCCGUGAACCAGGGUGAUCUUAUUGUAUUGGGAGCUGAUCUUAUUGUAAUGGCAAUAAGUGUAGUUGAUGGAUGGACUAAUGCUGACACUAAACUUAUGGAGCAUGUUUUGGUAAAUAGGCUUGUGGUGUUAAAGAGGGCUAGGAUGGAGCGUAUGAAGGCAUUGGAGAAGAUGAUGAAUUCCAAAUCAACAUCUUCCAUUGCGAAUCUGGUGGCUUUGAUCAUUUAUGUCAUCUUUUGCUUCUUCGUACUUUGGCAAGGCCGUUUUGUUGCGCUGUUGUGCACGCGGUUGUAGGAAGGGCGUAUUGUGGCGGCUACGAGGGACCGAUGUUCCUAUGUGGCGGUGACAACGACACCGUGGAGCCAAGGCAAUGUCAGCAAGCUGAUUUUUCAGAUUGGAAUCUAUGGUUCUUUUUAAAGAUCGAAUAUGUUCUAGCAUCUUAAAAAGAUUUGUCAGAA
Zea mays is the source of this 539-nucleotide long non-coding RNA. RefSeq lists it as uncharacterized. The record is from RefSeq and is a predicted model, not a curated record. Lineage: Eukaryota; Viridiplantae; Streptophyta; Magnoliopsida; Poales; Poaceae. The transcript is spliced from 5 exons.